Molecule: long non-coding RNA, 2822 nt
Organism: Aedes albopictus (Asian tiger mosquito)
Lineage: Eukaryota; Metazoa; Arthropoda; Insecta; Diptera; Culicidae
Exons: 3
Source: RefSeq, a predicted model, not a curated record
UGUUGACGAGCCGCAUUUAAAUAAGUUUCCGUGGUUUUCUGGGCCAGUCUAAAAUUGGACCCGCCUAACCGCAGCAUAACCACCGCAGCAUGACAGCUUGCGUGUGGUGGUAGUAGUAGUGUGAUAGGCAAUAGUGGUUUCGCAGCGCGGUGUCACGAACACUAAUGCAAAUCUACUGGUUGAAAAUAUGCCCAUUUGAUUUUGCUGCGAACAGCUGAUCUUUGUUUACUAUUUUCAACCAGUAACUCAGGUGGUGUUCGUGUAAUGCAGCGUGUACGUACACGCAACACCACUAAAAGCAGAAACCACUAUGAGCGAGAAGGUAAAUAAAAACCAUAUGAUGAUGAUGGGAAUGACGAUGAUUAUGACGGUAGGCGCGGUAGGCAGAUAUUUCGCCAUUGCAGUAAAAGAUGAGGCAAAUUAGUUGAGUUGUGCAAAGGCGCGUUAUUUUAUUGAAAUUGUAGUGAAUUCGGGGCGAGAACACUUCCAAAAAUCGGUUGUAAUUAUCUGCAAUACGCUGUUGCCAAUCCGAUCCGUGACAGAUACCUGGGAAUCACCGGUAAUAGGAAUAGGAAAGGUGUCCACAUUCCGGCGACAUUCGCUAUUCACACUCAAUCAAGUUAGGGUAACUGCACCCAUUAUCAUCCCAAGAUAGAAUUGGAAACCACUUCUUGUGAGUAUUUGUACUAGAAUAGAUUAAGAAUGUUAAUUGAAUGAUUAAAUAAAUUGCAGUUUUAAGCGUUGCUACAAAAUCUGAGCCGCUCUAAAAAUUUUGGUUUCCCUUCGGGAACAAAUGUGUUCAAAAAUUUUAUAAAUUUUACAAAAAGUUCUAUAAAUUUCAGAAAACUUAUUCAAUCUCGCUCAAAAUUUUACCAAUGGAGCUUUGAUAUAUGAUGCAUGAUUGAUCAAAAUUUCAGCGUAUUUGAUUGAAGUAUAAAAAAAUUAUGAUCAAUUUAAUAAAAAAUUAAUUUGACCAAAAAAUUGCUGUACGGACAAUUGUUUGAUACACUGUACUUGUUAGAAUCCCAAAAUGGUCGCCAUAAUGGCCGACUUUGGCUCCUACUCACGAUUUCGAGGGCACAAAUAUCUUCGUAAACAAAACCAACGCACCUGAGCUUCUUAUUUUAAAGUUAUUACAAGUGAGAAAGAACAGAAUAAUAAAAUGCUUUGUUAUAUAAAACUUGCUUCUUGAGAUUUGUACGUUUGAAGUUUUGAUGCGCUGUUGAAGCGGAAUGUCAAGACGUUUGUCCUUAAUGACCUGCAUAAAAUGUAGGAGAGUUAUACAAAAUCAAAAUACAAUAUACAAGAAAAUACAAUAAUAACGCUAGCUGGCAACACGCGCCCAGGAGUUGCUUAUAAGGAUGUGCAGGGAUUCUCAAACUUUUCCAGCUAGCGAUCCAUUUUUGUUGGUAAUUCAAUUUGGCGAAUUACCAGCACGUAUUUCCAUAAAAUACGUCACUUAAGAACAUUUUUUAUGAACUUCUGAAUAAAUUGGAAAUGAAGUCAAACAUUGUGAUGCAGGGUCAUUAGGCCGAAGGCCAUUAGGCCGAAUGGGCAUCAGGAUGAAUUGCAAUUCAGCAAUUAUAAAACUGGAAACAGAUUUGCCAAAAACUAUUUUAACAAUGAAACUAGAAAGAAUAGCCUAUGUUUAAAAGGAGGAAAAAAUAUUGAACAUCAGCAAUUUGAGCGUCGAAACCUAUUUUGGCAAUGAUACUAGAAAGAAAUACCUAUGUUCAAUAGAAGGAAAAAUUCAUGCUGGGGGUGACGUUUUAAGUUCCCGGUCGGUCCAGGAACUUUUUAUAAAGGAAAUUUCCUUGAUUAUGAUGUACCUCGUGUCCGCCACAUGAUAUACACAUGCAACGUGGUCAUUGGCAGCGUAAACUCUCAGUUAAGAACUGUGGAAGAGCUCUAGCUGAGCCGAUGAGUUUUUAAUAUUUUUUAAGUAUAAACGCUUUAUUAUUUUUAUCCCCCCCCGUCGACCAGCCAAAGAGUGGUGCGACAAAAAGUGAAAUAUUUUUUUUUUGUUUUUAUUUAUGUGUAUUUUAACUUAGAUGCUAAUUCUACACUUAAAGUGAAAUAAGUAUUUGUAACGGCCUAAGUUAAAUUAGAUAUUUAUAACGAUAUCGACCCAUGGUUUGAGAAACCCUGGGGUAGAGUGAAGGGAGGUAGCAAAGGGAAUCCCAAGGGGUUUCAGUGGAGUACCAAGAGAUCUUAGGAGCAUUUAAGGGGUUAUACAUGUUGAAGUGUUAUAACAAUUUCUAUAAAAAGUGUUUUUGUGUUUUAUUUAGAGAAGCACGCCGUCACUAUGAUUACAGUCCAACGGCUUAACUGAUAGCGCAAACCCAAAACAAAAACAUUACUAGAGGACCUUGUGAUGUCCUCGAACGAUCGGAAUAACAAAAAAGGUUUUAUUUCUCAAACGGGAACGAUUUUUCUCAAAAAAGUCGCCGUUUCAGCAAAAAAAAAAAGAAUAAAAUAAAUCACAUUGAUAUGAUUUCUUCUAGAGAAAAAUAUUGAUCCUUCAAGGACACGACACAUAAACAGCGAACACUCAGAAAAAAACGGUUGAGAUCUGAUUCCGAGAUAAUGGCGUUUAAUCGCGCUGGUUAUAAUCACACUCAUAAGGGAGCGAGGCGCAAAAUGCUAUAUCUUUGCUUCUACUGCUUGGAUCUCUAUGAAAACUGACAGAGCAUUCUUAAGAACCCAUACUUAAAGAUAAGAGAAUAAAAAAAACAUUUCACUAAGGGUUUCACUGGAAUCUAGGGAAUCUCAGGGUCACUUCAGGAACGCUUCAAGGGCUCUUAGGGAAAUUCUAGACAAUU